This 2334-nucleotide ribosomal RNA is filed under the name Triticum aestivum (bread wheat). RNAcentral describes it as "partial small subunit ribosomal RNA". The record is from RNAcentral. Lineage: Eukaryota; Viridiplantae; Streptophyta; Magnoliopsida; Poales; Poaceae.
AUGGAUCUUCGCGGCGAGAGAUGGACGGCUCCGUCGCUGUGCCUGGUGCUCGUGCUUCUCCAAGCGAGCAUUUCUGCCUGCGCGGGAGCCCCGAAGACUUACAUCGUCCACAUGGCCGCGUCGGAGAAGCCCAGCUCGUUCGAUUUUCACCACGAGUGGUACGCCUCCACGGUCAAGUCCGUGAGCUCUGCGCAGAUUGAAGCUGAGGAGGAGGAGGAUGCUUACGCGAGGAUCGUCUACAACUACGAGACGGCCAUCCAUGGCUUCGCGGCUCGCCUCGACGAGGACGAGGCUGAGCGGAUGGCCGAGGCGGCCGGCGUGCUGGCCGUGCUCCCGGAGACGGUCCUGCAGCUGCACACCACCAGGAGCCCCGACUUCCUGGGCAUUGGCCCGGAGGUCAGCAACAGAAUCUGGGCCUCCGGCCUCGCCGACCACGACGUCGUCGUCGGCGUGCUCGACACCGGCAUAUGGCCCGAGAGCCCCAGCUUCAGCGACAAGGGGCUCGGCCCCGUGCCGUCCAAGUGGAAAGGCCUGUGCCAGACCGGCCGCGGCUUCACCACGGCCGACUGCAACCGCAAGAUCAUCGGCGCGCGCAUCUUCUACAGCGGCUACGAGGCCUCCUCGGGCCCCAUCAACGAGACCACCGAGCUCAAGUCCCCGCGCGACCAGGACGGCCACGGCACGCACACCGCCGCCACCGCCGCGGGCUCGCCCGUGCCGGACGCCGGCCUCUUCGGCUACGCGCGCGGCGUCGCCCGCGGCAUGGCGCCCCGCGCCCGCGUCGCCGCGUACAAGGUGUGCUGGACCGGCGGCUGCUUCAGCUCCGACAUCCUCGCGGCCGUCGACCGCGCCGUGUCGGACGGCGUCGACGUGCUCUCCAUCUCCCUCGGCGGCGGCGCCUCCCCUUACUACCGCGACAGCCUGUCAAUCGCGUCGUUUGGGGCCAUGCAGAUGGGCGUGUUCAUCGCCUGCUCGGCCGGCAACGCCGGCCCGGACCCGAUAAGCCUCACGAACCUGUCGCCGUGGAUCACCACGGUGGGCGCGAGCACCAUGGACCGUGACUUCCCGGCAACAGUGACGUUUGGCAACGGCGCCAACAUCACCGGCGUCUCGCUUUACAAGGGCAGGAAGAACCUUUCGCCUCGGCAGCAGUAUCCGGUGGUCUACAUGGGCGGCAACUCGAGCAUCCCGAACCCCAGGUCCAUGUGCCUCGAGGGGACACUGGAGCCCAACGCCGUCGCCGGAAAGAUCGUGAUAUGCGACCGCGGCAUCAGUCCUCGGGUGCAGAAGGGUCAGGUUGUCAAGGAAGCAGGAGGCAUCGGCAUGAUCCUCGCCAACACCGCAGCGAACGGCGAGGAGCUCGUCGCCGACAGCCACCUCCUGCCAGCCGUGGCCGUUGGGGAAUCCGAAGGCGUCGCGGCAAAGAAGUACACCAGGACGGCCCCAAAGCCGACGGGGACACUCAGCUUCGCCGGAACCAAGCUCGGCAUCCGGCCGUCGCCGGUGGUCGCCGCGUUCUCUUCCCGGGGGCCAAACUACCUGACUCUGGAGAUCCUCAAGCCGGACCUCAUCGCGCCCGGCGUGAACAUCCUGGCCGCAUGGAGCGGCGACGCCAGCCCGUCGAGCCUGGCCAGCGACCGCCGCCGCGUCGGGUUCAACAUCCUGUCGGGGACGUCCAUGUCGUGCCCGCACGUCGCCGGCGUGGCCGCGCUGCUCAAGGCAAGCCACCCGGACUGGAGCCCAGCGCAGAUCAAGUCGGCGCUGAUGACCACCGCCUACGUCCACGACAACACCUACCACGUGCUCAAGGACGCGGCGACCGGCGACGCGUCUACGCCGUUCGAGCACGGGGCCGGCCACAUACACCCGGUGCGAGCGCUCAACCCGGGCCUGGUCUACGACAUUGGGCAGAACGAGUACCUAGAGUUCCUCUGCACGCAGAACCUGACGCGGACGCAGCUCAAGGGCUUCACCAAGAACUCCAACAUGACAUGCAAGGGCAGCUUCAGCUCGCCCGGCGACCUCAACUACCCGGCCAUCUCCGCCGUCUUCAGCGAUCAGCCGGCCACCCCGCUGAUGGUGCGCCGCACCGUGACGAACGUCGGUCCUCCGUCGUCGACGUACCAUGUCAAGGUCACAAAGUUCAAAGGCGCGGACGUCGUCGUCGAGCCGAGCACCCUGCACUUCAGCAGCGCAAACCAGAAGCUCGCCUACAAGGUUACACUGAGGACCAAGGCCGCUCAGAAGACACCCGAGUACGGUGCCCUGUCAUGGAGCGACGGCGUUCACGUAGUCCGGAGCCCCCUGGUCCUCACAUGGCUGCCGCCAAUGUGA